This 552-nucleotide ribosomal RNA is filed under the name Centrolene notostictum (Cordillera giant glass frog). RNAcentral describes it as "partial 16S ribosomal RNA". It matches the Rfam family "Bacterial large subunit ribosomal RNA", at positions 1706 to 2467 of the family's 2925-position model. Lineage: Eukaryota; Metazoa; Chordata; Amphibia; Anura; Centrolenidae. The record is from RNAcentral.
CAAGAAAACCCUACUAUACCCCAUGUUUAUCUAACACCAGGGCAUCCCAGGAAAGAUUAAAAGAAAGAAAAGGAACUCGGCAAAUAUUAACCUCGCCUGUUUACCAAAAACAUCGCCUCUUGAUAAAAUAUAAGAGGUCCAGCCUGCCCAGUGACUCUGUUCAACGGCCGCGGUAUCCUAACCGUGCGAAGGUAGCGUAAUCACUUGUUCUUUAAAUGAGGACUAGUAUGAAUGGCACCACGAGGGCUAUACUGUCUCUUCUUUCCAAUCAGUGAAACUAAUCUCCCCGUGAAGAAGCGAGGAUGAAAAUAUAAGACGAGAAGACCCUAUGGAGCUUUAAACCACACAACACCUGCUUUGACCCAACUAAAUUUCAGAAAACCCCUCUUCACCCCAGCAGGAUGAUUGCCAGUUUUAGGUUGGGGUGACCGCGGAGCAAAAAACAACCUCCACAUUGAAAGGGCACCUACCCCUUAGCCAAGAGCCACACCUCCACGCACCAAUAAAAUGACAUUAAUUGACCCAAUAUAUUGAUCAACGAACCAAGUUACC